Molecule: non-coding RNA, 24 nt
Filed under: Drosophila melanogaster (fruit fly)
Lineage: Eukaryota; Metazoa; Arthropoda; Insecta; Diptera; Drosophilidae
Source: RNAcentral
ACUACCCUAAUAUGUACAAUGUAA